GGGCUUAGUUGUGGCCUUGUCUGAUUGGG
RNAcentral lists this non-coding RNA (29 nucleotides) under Homo sapiens (human). The record is from RNAcentral. Lineage: Eukaryota; Metazoa; Chordata; Mammalia; Primates; Hominidae.